Molecule: ribosomal RNA, 253 nt
Filed under: uncultured bacterium
Lineage: Bacteria
Description: partial 16S ribosomal RNA
Rfam family: Bacterial small subunit ribosomal RNA
Source: RNAcentral
UACAGGGGGGGCAAGCGUUGUUCGGAAUUACUGGGCGUAAAGGGCUCGUAGGUGGCCAACUAAGUCAGACGUGAAAUCCCUCAGCUUAACUGGGGAACUGCGUCUGAUACUGGAUGGCUUGAGUUUGGGAGAGGGAUGCGGAAUUCCAGGUGUAGCGGUGAAAUGCGUAGAUAUCUGGAGGAACACCGGUGGCGAAGGCGGCAUCCUGGACCAACACUGACACUGAGGAGCGAAAGCAAGGGGAGCAAACGGG